GGAGGGUAUAGCUCAAAUGGUAGAGCACGUGCUUAGCAUGCACGAGGUCCUGGGUUCAAUCCCCAGUACCUCCA
This 74-nucleotide transfer RNA is filed under the name Vicugna pacos (alpaca). Its description in RNAcentral is "tRNA-Ala (AGC) (tRNA-Ala-AGC-513-1)". It matches the Rfam family "tRNA". Rfam says of the family: Transfer RNA (tRNA) molecules are approximately 80 nucleotides in length. Lineage: Eukaryota; Metazoa; Chordata; Mammalia; Artiodactyla; Camelidae. The record is from RNAcentral.